ACAUGCAAGUCGUGCGAGAAAGCACCUUCGGGUGCGAGUAGAGCGGCGGACGGGUGAGUAACGCGUAGGAAUCUACCUAGUAGAAGGGGAUAGCCCGGGGAAACUCGGAUUAAUACCGUAUACCUCCUUAGGGAGAAAGAGGGCUUAGCUUUGAUGCUCUCGCUAUUAGAUGAGCCUGCGUAAGAUUAGCUUGUUGGUGAGGUAAAGGCUCACCAAGGCGACGAUCUUUAGCUGGUCUGAGAGGACGAUCAGCCACAUUGGGACUGAGACACGGCCCAGACUCCUACGGGAGGCAGCAGUGGGGAAUAUUGGACAAUGGGCGCAAGCCUGAUCCAGCCAUACCGCGUGUGUGAAGAAGGCUUUCGGGUUGUAAAGCACUUUAAGUAAGGAGGAAAAGAUUGUAGUUAAUACCUGCAAUC
Molecule: ribosomal RNA, 419 nt
Filed under: uncultured Pseudomonadota bacterium
Lineage: Bacteria; Pseudomonadati; Pseudomonadota
Description: bacterial SSU rRNA
Rfam family: Bacterial small subunit ribosomal RNA
Source: RNAcentral